CGUACGGACGCGUAACACAUGCUCAACCUACCUCUCACUGGGGAAUCGCCCCUCUAAAGGAAGAUUGACACCCCCUAAUAUACCGAUUGGCAUCAAUUAUGACCGGCAACUCCGGUGGAUAUAGAUGGGCACGCUCACUCUCAUAUCGUUGGUGAGGUCACGGCUGACCACCACUGAGAUCUUCAGGGGCCCUGAGAGGGAGAUCCCCCACCCUGGUACUGAGACACGGACCUCACUCCUCCUGGAGGCAGCAGCGAGGAAUAUUGGACAAUGGGUGAAAGACUGAUCCAGCCAUCCCGCGUGAAGGUAGACAGUCCUAUGGAUUGUAAACUACUUUUGCACAGGAAUAAACCUACUCUCGUGAGAGUAUCUGAAGGUACUGCACGAAUAAGCACCGGCUAACUCCGUGCCAGCAGCCGCGGUAAUACAGAGGGUGCGAGCGUAAUCGGGAUUUACUGGGCGUAAAGCGUGCGUAGGCGGCUUUUUAGUCGGAUGUGAAAUCCCUGAGCUUAACUUAGGAAUUGCAUUCGAAACUGGAAAGCUAGAGUAUGGGAGAGGAUGGUAGAAUUCCAGGUGUAGCGGUGAAAUGCGUAGAGAUCUGGAGGAAUACCGAUGGCGAAGGCAGCCAUCUGGCCUAAUACUGACGCUGAGGUACGAAAGCAUGGGGAGCAAACAGGAUUAGAUACCCUGGUAGUCCAUGCCGUAAACGAUGUCUACUAGCCGUUGGGGCCUUUGAGGCUUUAGUGGCGCAGCUAACGCGAUAAGUAGACCGCCUGGGGAGUACGGUCGCAAGACUAAAACUCAAAUGAAUUGACGGGGGCCCGCACAAGCGGUGGAGCAUGUGGUUUAAUUCGAUGCAACGCGAAGAACCUUACCUGGCCUUGACAUACUAAGAACUUUCCAGAGAUGGAUUGGUGCCUUCGGGAACUUAGAUACAGGUGCUGCAUGGCUGUCGUCAGCUCGUGUCGUGAGAUGUUGGGUUAAGUCCCGCAACGAGCGCAACCCUUUUCCUUAUUUGCCAUCGGGUAAUGCCGGGAACUUUAAGGAUACUGCCAGUGACAAACUGGAGGAAGGCGGGGACGACGUCAAGUCAUCAUGGCCCUUACGGCCAGGGCUACACACGUGCUACAAUGGUCGGUACAAAGGGUUGCUACCUCGCGAGAGGAUGCUAAUCUCAAAAAGCCGAUCGUAGUCCGGAUCGCAGUCUGCAACUCGACUGCGUGAAGUCGGAAUCGCUAGUAAUCGCGGAUCAGAAUGCCGCGGUGAAUACGUUCCCGGGCCU
Molecule: ribosomal RNA, 1282 nt
Filed under: uncultured bacterium
Lineage: Bacteria
Description: bacterial SSU rRNA
Rfam family: Bacterial small subunit ribosomal RNA
Source: RNAcentral